UUCUACAUAUAAGACUACCCCUAUGCCUCAAAGGUUAUUUCUAAACUUUCCCUAGGUCGUUGAGUAAUAUUAGUAAAAUAUGAGUUCAGAAAACAGCAAAACCAAAAGACAAAAUCAAGAUUCAGCAUAUUUGUCCAAGGGAAGAAGAAGAAGAGUGAAAGCAGCGGUAGAAGAAGAAUGAGGGAUACGACAAAAAUGAAAGCGCUGAGAUCUGGGUUAGUAGUAAUUGGAGCUGUAGCAUUUGGUUACCUGAAUUUGCAGCUAAUGUUCAAGCCCUUUCUUGAGAAAACACAGUCACAACAAGCUCUCCUCCACUCUGAAUCAUCCCAACAACAACAAUCCGAGUCAGACCAAAGCUUAUGACUAUUUCAUUUUAAGUUAUGGUUCAUUUUAUGUAAUGCUUUUGCUUUUUUUUCUUGAUCCCAUGUGGAAAAACUGGUUCAAUAUUUAUAAUUUUCAGCCCUGUAGCUCUUUUCUUAUAAUUCAUUGUUUAAAGGUUAUGGUGCCAACUCACUAUUAUCCAUAUUAUGUAGCUGAUCCUAAUGAUUGUUAAGUAUGUUUACGACAAAGUAGGAGUCGGAAUACAUUACAAAGGGAUUAAAAGGAUACUAGAGUAUCAAUCCUAGGGCUUGAACCUGUGACAUAAAGCAAUUUUUAACCCCUUCUCCACUACACUGAAAUCUUUCCUUUUGUCAAGGGGAUUCAAUUGUUUCCAUUUAAUAAAAAAAGUUGUUUUUGCCGUAUUGUGGAAUGUAAUUUUCCGGCCAAGUGGAUUCAAUUGAACCCCUUGACGACACCUAGCUCUAUUCUUGGUUUAUCCAGCCAAAUGGUGGAUUCAGUAUUUUAAGUCAGUGGGUGGAGUAGCAAUGUGUCUACUGCUUCUUUGUUUCAAUUGUUUUUUUUUUUCACAAUUGAUUUGGACUUAGCAUAAAUGUAUAUUCAAAAAAAAAUGUAUGCACAUCUACGGUCGAAGGCAGUGGGUGCAUCUGCACAAUGCGGCCGUCCUGGUAAAUCAUCCCAUUUUUGUGUCAAAAGCUCUUUAUUGGAUUAAAUUCUUGCUCAUAGAAGUCUGAAUUUGAAACUUAUUUUUAAGUAGAAAGGAAAAAAAUCUUGUCUUUGGAGGUGGACCAAGGCAGUUAUUUCUUGGCCAUGCUAAUAAAGGAUAGGAGGUGCUGAUUGUGUGUUUGGAUGUGAGUUGGGAUAAGGAAGUCAGGGUCUUAGGAAACAUGAUUUGGCAUGGGAUAGAGAGUUGGAAAUGGGGACUCUAUCAAGCUUUGGCUAUUUGAUUAUUUCUAUACUGUAUCUAAUAGUAGCCCCAUGUUUUGGUGAGUGAUUAAAUUACUGAUUUUCUUUUCGGCGAUUUUAACCAAUUUUAUCUUCAACUCCUUUAUUCUAUUUCAAGAGCUAAGGAAUCAAUGGCACUUUGUAUUAGGUGUAAGAGGUGACAUGAAAAUGAUCAUUGAUUUCUUGAGCUGCUAAUCUGCUAUACAAAUGGUUUUGGUUA
Nicotiana tabacum (common tobacco) is the source of this 1504-nucleotide non-coding RNA. NCBI's taxonomy places the organism in Eukaryota, Viridiplantae, Streptophyta, Magnoliopsida, Solanales, Solanaceae. The record is from RefSeq and is a predicted model, not a curated record.